UAGGGAAUCUUCCGCAAUGGGCGAAAGCCUGACGGAGCAACGCCGCGUGAGUGAUGAAGGUCUUCGGAUCGUAAAACUCUGUUAUUAGGGAAGAACAAAUGUGUAAGUAACUAUGCACGUCUUGACGGUACCUAAUCAGAAAGCCACGGCUAACUACGUGCCAGCAGCCGCGGUAAUACGUAGGUGGCAAGCGUUAUCCGGAAUUAUUGGGCGUAAAGCGCGCGUAGGCGGUUUUUUAAGUCUGAUGUGAAAGCCCACGGCUCAACCGUGGAGGGUCAUUGGAAACUGGAAAACUUGAGUGCAGAAGAGGAAAGUGGAAUUCCAUGUGUAGCGGUGAAAUGCGCAGAGAUAUGGAGGAACACCAGUGGCGAAGGAGACUUUCUGGUCUGUAACUGACGCUGAUGUGCGAAAGCGUGGGGAUCAAACAGG
Molecule: ribosomal RNA, 429 nt
Filed under: Actinomycetes bacterium
Lineage: Bacteria; Bacillati; Actinomycetota; Actinomycetes
Description: Actinobacteria bacterium partial 16S ribosomal RNA
Rfam family: Bacterial small subunit ribosomal RNA
Source: RNAcentral